AUUGAUUUUAUGCUUGCAUAAAUGAUUUUUUGGAUUCGGAGCGAGUGGCGAACUGGUGAGUAACACGUGGGUAACCUGCCCCGAAGCGGGGGAUAACAUUUGGAAACAAGUGCUAAUACCGCAUAAUUAGUUGGAACCGCAUGGUUCCAACUUGAAAGAUGGCUCUGCUAUCACUUUGGGAUGGACCCGCGCCGUAUUAGUUAGUUGGUGAGAUAAAAGCCCACCAAGACGAUGAUACGUAGCCGACCUGAGAGGGUAAUCGGCCACAUUGGGACUGAGACACGGCCCAGACUCCUACGGGAGGCAGCAGUAGGGAAUCUUCCACAAUGGACGAAAGUCUGAUGGAGCAACGCCGCGUGAGUGAUGAAGGUUUUCGGAUCGUAAAACUCUGUUGUUAAAGAAGAACAAGUGUUAGAGUAACUGUUAACACUUUGACGGUAUUUAACCAGAAAGCCACGGCUAACUACGUGCCAGCAGCCGCGGUAAUACGUAGGUGGCAAGCGUUGUCCGGAUUUAUUGGGCGUAAAGCGAGCGCAGGCGGUUUUGUAAGUCUGCUGUGAAAGCCCUCAGCUCAACUGAGGAAGUGCAGUGGAAACUACAAAACUUGAGUACAGAAGAGGAAAGUGGAACUCCAUGUGUAGCGGUGAAAUGCGUAGAUAUAUGGAAGAACACCAGUGGCGAAGGCGGCUUUCUGGUCUGUUACUGACGCUGAGGCUCGAAAGCAUGGGUAGCGAACAGGAUUAGAUACCCUGGUAGUCCAUGCCGUAAACGAUGAAUACUAGGUGUUGGAGGGUUUCCGCCCUUCAGUGCCGCAGCUAACGCAUUAAGUAUUCCGCCUGGGGAGUACGACCGCAAGGUUGAAACUCAAAGGAAUUGACGGGGGCCCGCACAAGUGGUGGAGCAUGUGGUUUAAUUCGAUGCUACGCGAAGAACCUUACCAGCUCUUGACAUCUUCUGCCAACCCAAGAGAUUGGGCGUUCCCUUCGGGGACAGAAUGACAGGUGGUGCAUGGUUGUCGUCAGCUCGUGUCGUGAGAUGUUGGGUUAAGUCCCGCAACGAGCGCAACCCUUAUUAUUAGUUGCCAGCAUUUAGUUGGGCACUCUAGUGAGACUGCCGGUGAUAAA
This 1124-nucleotide ribosomal RNA is filed under the name uncultured bacterium. RNAcentral's name for it is "bacterial SSU rRNA". It matches the Rfam family "Bacterial small subunit ribosomal RNA", at positions 47 to 1162 of the family's 1533-position model. The record is from RNAcentral.